This 71-nucleotide transfer RNA is filed under the name Marmota marmota marmota (Alpine marmot). It matches the Rfam family "tRNA". Rfam says of the family: Transfer RNA (tRNA) molecules are approximately 80 nucleotides in length. RNAcentral also lists the same sequence under 1 other name. Lineage: Eukaryota; Metazoa; Chordata; Mammalia; Rodentia; Sciuridae. The record is from Rfam by way of RNAcentral.
GUGGUUGUGGUUCAGUGGUAGAACGCUCACCUAGCUCGUGUGAGGCACUGGGUUCAAUCCUCAGCAGCACU